Molecule: ribosomal RNA, 662 nt
Filed under: Mesodinium rubrum
Lineage: Eukaryota; Ciliophora; Litostomatea; Cyclotrichida; Mesodiniidae
Description: bacterial SSU rRNA
Rfam family: Eukaryotic small subunit ribosomal RNA
Source: RNAcentral
GUUCUCAAGACUAAGCCAUGGCACGUCUAAGUACAAACUAAACUGAUGGUGAAACUGCAAAUGGCUCAUUACAACGGUUAUGAUGUACCCGGGCAGCUUCCGAUGGAUAUUUCCAGUAACACUAGAACUAAUACAUGCUCCUGUCGCUUGUAUUAGUUUCGCACAGAUCCGUCGCUGAGUCAUGGGUAAACAGUUGAUCGACUCGACGUCCCGGAACAGUUUCCGCCCCAUCAGCUUCGAUGGUUGGGUAUUGGCCUACCAUUGCAACAACGGGUAACGAGGAAUUAGGGUUUGAUUUCGGAGAGGGAGCCUGAGAAACGGCUACCACAUCUACGGAUGGCAGCAGGCGCGCAAAUUACCCAAUGCAGACACUGUGAGGUAGUGACGAGAAAUAAUAAAGCGGGACUUCUGUUUCGCUAUUAUAAUGAGGAAUAACCAAAGGUCAUUCCGAUUAGCAACUGAUGGGAAAGUCUGGUGCCAGCAGCCGCGGUAAUACCAGCGUCAGUAGCAUAUAUUAAAAUUGUYGCAGUUAAAACGUCCGUAGUCUGUACGUCGUCCCAAACUCACUGCAGUCUUCCGUKUUCUUCAUUGAAUGCGGUAGUUUCUGCAGUCACUCCCUUNAUCACAUUAGGUUGUUCAAGGUAGACCAAGUCUUCAUAUAG